RNAcentral lists this ribosomal RNA (471 nucleotides) under uncultured bacterium. Its description in RNAcentral is "bacterial SSU rRNA". It matches the Rfam family "Bacterial small subunit ribosomal RNA", at positions 335 to 799 of the family's 1533-position model. The record is from RNAcentral.
ACUCCUACGGGAGGCAGCAGUGGGGAAUAUUGGACAAUGGGGGAAACCCUGAUCCAGCCAUGCCGCGUGUGUGAAGAAGGUCUUCGGAUUGUAAAGCACUUUAAGUUGGGAGGAAGAGCAGUAAGUUAAUACCUUGCUGUUUGACGUUACCGACAGAAUAAGCACCGGCUAACUCUGUGCCAGCAGCCGCGGUAAUACAGAGGGUGCAAGCGUUAAUCGGAAUUACUGGGCGUAAAGCGCGCGUAGGUGGUUGCGUAAGUUGAAGGUGAAAUCCCCGGGCUUAACCUGGGAACUGCCUCCAAAACUGCGUGGCUAGAGUACGGGUAGAGGGGUAUGGAAUUUCCUGUGUAGCGGUGAAAUGCGUAGAUAUAGGAAGGAACACCAGUGGCGAAGGCGACUACCUGGACUGAUACUGACACUGAGGUGCGAAAGCGUGGGGAACAACAGGAUUAGAUACCCGUGUAGGACAGU